UGGCCUCCUCCUGCCAGGUCCGCUCCCUUGUCCUCCCCGAGCGGCGGCCCCAGCUGUGGAGCACAUGGGGCUUUCCCACACCUGGUCUCCGUGGCCCGAGGCUGUGACCCCGUUACAGGGUCCCAGCCAGAGUGUCACCCAGCCAGACGCCGGCCACCAGCUGCAUCUGGGUCAUCGGGGCGGCAGGCUGGGGUACAGCUCUCUGGGACCCCUGCCAGACCGGGCUGGGAGCCAGGUCCCAAAGCUCUGCCUGCAAGGCUGCUGCUAAGCCCUGCUUCUGGGGCAGCACUGGCCACAGCUGGCCAUGACCUUGCCACGCGUGGGAGUGCAGAAGGGCACCCAACCCCACCUGGAGCUGUCAAGACCCUGGCUCCCGGCUGGGGAAGGGGGAAGAGAAGGAUGUGCGUAGAGCAGCAUGCACACUGCCACAUCCCUGAGCCUGUUUUCUUCUGCUGCCUGGAGACCUACACCAUGGCGGCCCCCAGGACAGCGUGGCAGCCCAAAGGGACCCCGCUGGGGGCAAGGCCGAUCUACAAACGGUCAUCAAACCCUCAUCAUUUCAGCAGCUUCUGUGAGAGCCCGUCCUAGCCCUGCCAUGAAUUCAGUGAACACAAACGGACGGGGGUGCACAUCGAGAAUCCCAGCAACUGCGGGGCUGAGGCAGGAAGAUCGCCACAAGUUGGAGGCCAGCUUGGCCUCAAACCGCCUCAAAGCCCUAUCUCAAAAACAAAAAUCAGUGCACGCGCAGCUCUCCGGGAGCCCCAGGGAGCUCACACUCCUGAGCGCUCAGUUUCUUUCUCUAUUUUUGCCACAUAGAGAUGACAGUUCGUUGUUUCACCUUGACACAGAAGAGAAACAAUGUAAAGAGAGUGCUAUUAUCACGCGACUUCCUUCCCCAGCACCGCUACUCCGUCAUCCCUUCGACACCGGCUUCCUGGGGUGGACCACUGACUAUAAAUUUUAUUUGGCUGCCAUUUCUCUUGUGACUGAAACCUUAGCCCUUGAUCAAGAUUUCAGAUUAUCCUAAUGAAGGCGUUUCCUUAGUUUAAAAAAAUACUGCCUGUAAUCCCAGCACUUGGGAGACCGAGGCAGGAAGAUCCCUAUGAGUUCAGGGCCAGCCUGAAUUGGAUAGUGAGACCCUGUCUGAAAAAGACCAAAAAAAAACCCAAAAAGAACAAAAACCCCGAAGAUUUAAAAAUCCUUUAUUGAACAUUUCCUAAAUAUCUGGACUCUUUGAGACUAAUGAAAAGUCCAGUUUUUAUCAGCAGUAACUUAAUCUUGCAGGUAGACAAAGACGGGUCUCUUCUUUUGGUCUAAUUUACCCUAACAGCAGAGAGGGCGGGGCUGAUGGAGCAGGCCGGCUGUCUGGGCUGGUGACCCAGGAAGAGAGGCAGUGCCUGCCUUAGUGCUCUCCGUGGACUCAGGCUCGUCAGGUUGCCCGGGCUGUAAUGAUCUAUAUUUAACUGCAAGUUUAAUGAACUACUUAGGCUCACUUUAAAAUGUCACUGAUUUUGUUUGCAUAGCCACCCUCGGCUGUGCGCUCCUAUUUUUAGGACCCGGCUUCUCUGCACACUCAGUUCCUCUACAGCGCGGCAGGGCUGGGGCAGCGCCCCGACUCUCCCGAGCAGCGGCGAGCGGGGCCUGAGCCGGGGCUCCGCCUGCCCCGCCCAGCACUCCUCAAGAGCGCAGCCGGUGCUCCUACACCCCCGAGGGAACCCGGCGCCUCUGGGUAGCUUCUGCAUGCUUGUCCCGGUGCUGCCAACCUCUUGAUUUGGAUGGAUUUUAACCCAGAAUGACUCUCACUAGAACACAUCAAAGGGCGUGGAAGCGCAUGGCCAGCUCAGGCCGCUGCAGGAGGGCAGGUGCCCAGGGAGACGCGGGGGCCGGCUGGGGCGGUGAGGAGCAUCCCGUCGCAGUGGCGGUGGUCCCCACGGCGGAGGAGGCCCGUGGGAGGGACCGCAGCUGCACAGUCCGGGCUGGCGCGUCGGCCCGGGUGAGGUGGGGAGCAGCUCCUAAGAGCGGCCAGUGGUUCGAUUCCUUAGAAAUCAGAAAAGUAUGCACUAUUAUUUAUUUGGCAAAAUAAUCUAUUACUGUUAACAAGAGAGGAAC
Long non-coding RNA from Chinchilla lanigera (long-tailed chinchilla), 2109 nucleotides. Lineage: Eukaryota; Metazoa; Chordata; Mammalia; Rodentia; Chinchillidae. The record is from Ensembl.